AUGUCUUGCCUUCGCCUUGUCAGUGCCCGGCAAGAUAUGGAUAGCUUCAUCAGAGAAAGACAUGUCGGUGAAGUAGCUUCGCCUCGUCGGAACUUGGAUGAUGUUAGGAAGUGUGUUGAUGUAGAAGUCGGAGUAGACAAUGAGUAUCGCUGCGUGGCGGCAUCACUUGAAGAUGACGAACUUGUCGAUGUAGACCUUGGGGCGUUGCAGCUGCGGGGACGACCUCUGCUCAGUGUAGAUAGUUGGUGUACAAGAAUGACAGCGUGCCAGUGCAUUCGGCAUGCUCGCCAGGCGAUGAGUCAAAAGAAGAUGGUGACGCCAUGUGGACAUCCGGUUGCCCCGAUGUAG
This 348-nucleotide ribosomal RNA is filed under the name Triticum aestivum (bread wheat). RNAcentral describes it as "partial small subunit ribosomal RNA". Lineage: Eukaryota; Viridiplantae; Streptophyta; Magnoliopsida; Poales; Poaceae. The record is from RNAcentral.